UUUCAUGAGGAAUCCGACAGAGGAUCGUCCGACAGUGGGGUUCGGAUGGCACUGUGGGGGUUCGUCCGUCGAAGGAGUCUUGAGGACACUGGGGAAGGUCGAACGUUGGAGGAGUCCGGGAUUCAAUUCUGUUAUAGAAGUUCGGACAGAGUCUGGCUCUUGUAGGAGUCUGAAAGGAGGCCGCUUAUUGUAAAAGCUCGGAC
RNAcentral lists this long non-coding RNA (203 nucleotides) under Elaeis guineensis (African oil palm). RNAcentral describes it as "long non-coding RNA (EGUI_LNC054657)". Lineage: Eukaryota; Viridiplantae; Streptophyta; Magnoliopsida; Arecales; Arecaceae. The record is from RNAcentral.